RNAcentral lists this ribosomal RNA (468 nucleotides) under uncultured bacterium. RNAcentral's name for it is "partial 16S ribosomal RNA". It matches the Rfam family "Bacterial small subunit ribosomal RNA", at positions 28 to 507 of the family's 1533-position model. The record is from RNAcentral.
GACGAACGCUGGCGGCGUGCUUAACACAUGCAAGUCGAACGGAAAGGCCCUGCUUUUGUGGGGUGCGCGAGUGGCGAACGGGGGAGUAACACGUGAGUAACCUGCCCUUGACUUUGGGAUAACUUCAGGAAACUGGGGCUAAUACCGGAUAGGAGCUCCUGCUGCAUGGUGGGGGUUGGAAAGUUUCGGCGGUUGGGGAUGGACUCGCGGCUUAUCAGCUUGGUGGUGGGGUAGUGGCUUACCAAGGCUUUGACGGGUAGCCGGCCUGAGAGGGUGACCGGCCACACUGGGACUGAGCUACGGCCCAGACUCCUACGGGAGGCAGCAGUGGGGAAUAUUGCACUAUGGGAGGAAGCCUGAUGCAGCAACGCCGCGUGCGGGAUGACGGCCUUCGGGUUGUAAACCGCUUUCGCCUUUGACGAAGCGUGAGUGACGGUAAUGGGUAAAGAAGCACCGGCUAACUACGUG